CCUCUAUUCUCCCCCUAUCCACCGCAAAAAAAAAAAAAAAAAAAAAUCUUUUUCCAUCGCGUCUCUUUUCUUCUCCGUUCCUUAUUUUUCAAGUUUUUUGAGAAGGAAGACUACUGCAGGUGAAGGCUUGUCAGUUCUAACGUGAUUUAGGGGAAGCGCCUUCUCAGUUAACAGGGGAAGCUAAACAAAAAACAAAAAUCGAUCUGAUUCAUUCCCAGCCCUGAAAUUCCUUCCCCGAUCUUCAUCAGCAAGUUUUGAUCAAGAGGUGAUGGGAGACUGAAGAAUGGGUGUUCUGAUUUGAUUUGUCGUAGAACCAUGAGGUCCUAAGGAGCAAGGAGUACAAAUCAUUUCAUCUCAUGACCAAGGAUUCAAAAGCACCAACCGGCUUGAUGAUUAAAACUAAGGUGUAGCAAAUUCGGUUGGUAAUACGCUGGAGAUUGAUGAAAAGGUCGUUUACCUGCAAACUGGAGGGGUUCUCUUCAAUAUCGGCGUCUGUCUAUUUCAUAUACACCAACUGGGUUCAAUGUUGAGGGGACGAAGAUGGCAGUUAACAACCACAAAUCUGGGGCUGUUCUGGCUGUUUUUGGUUCGUUGUUGUGCUUAAACGUUUGUGAAGAUUUGGAGCUUCUGUUGCAACGAAAAGAAGUACGGUUGCAGGGACAUCUAAUCGUGGGUACAAUACAGGGAAUGAGUCUCAUGUGCUUUAGGAUGCAAAGCGGUGUCUCUUCAUCACCAGCCGAGGUAUGAGAAUGAAACACAAAUAAAAAAAAGCGUAUGGGUGGUGGGAAUGACCAGCAAGGUGAUAUUUGCUGGUCCCACAAAACAUAAAACCAAAAAACCACAUACCAAACCCUAAGAAAAAAUAAAAAACAUAACUCUUCGUUUCCUCAACUCUGUCUUUUGAUUUCGAAAAAAUUCUUCGCCUCCUUCACUGAAUCUUUAACCUUGGGUAAAUAUUUUGAUUUCGACAACCUAGCCCUAAUCUCUAACCUUGCGUCAAUAUCAAGUAAUUGUUUCGAGGAGGAUUGGGUUCUAUUUCGAAUCAACAGGUAAAUUGAAUUCAGCCCUGAUCUCUUUCGAUCUCAACAGGUACACAAACGAUAACUCUUAACCAGGGUUUCGUUUUGGGAAGAGUAACUGAGAAUGAGUCUAAAUCGGUAAGAAUGAGAGUGGGUUAAUCGGAGAUGGGGGUUUGAGAGUUCUUGGAUGAUGAUAAGAGUUUGGUUGAGAUCGAUUUGCAACCAGAUGAAGAAAUCAAUCAGGAAAAAAUAUCCCAGGUUCAAAUAUUUCUCUAUUUUUUCCCUAUAAAUUUCAAUUGAAUUUCGAUUUCAGAAUUACUUAUACAUUCAAUGGGGCAAUGGGUAGUUGCAGAGAUGUUGUUGGUGUUGCUACCAGAGAAGCUACAGUAAUGGGGCAAUGGAUUUUGGUGUAUGCCAUAGGCCCCGGCUCUGUCCAGAUACUAUGAUCCAAUACUUUGAAACUCACUUUUUAUUGUUUCGAUACGUUAAAACUCACUUGCAGGUGUUGUUGUUGGUGCUGGAUGGCAAAGUGUCAUAGCUUAUGUGAACCUAGCCUGUUAUUACUUGGUCAGAAUUCCUGUUGUAAUGAUCCUCGGUUACCUUAUCAACAAAAUCUAAAUUCAUAGAUCGUCCAGACUUCAAACAACUAAUGAUAUGCUUCCAAUCCAGAUAACAAUCCUACAAUCCAGAAACCAUAAACUUGCCAGAAGCUUAAGGCUUUCCAUUAUGUACCUCUCCCUGUUCUACUUCUCUAUGUUUAAUUCAUCGUUCGUUAUCCUUCAUUUUUAAAUUUUUUUUGAUUGUUGGUAGUGGGUUCUUUUACAUAUUUUGGAACAGUAAUUACGUAAACCCUAAUUUAUGUUCUACAAUCACAGCAACCCUUUACUUCUCUAUGUUUAAUUCAUCGUCGUUAUCCUUUAUUUUUAAUUUUUUUUUGAUUGUUGGUAGUGGGUUCUUUUACAGAUUUUGGAACAGUAAUUACGUAAACCCUAAUUUAUGUUCCAUGUGCAGUUGAGAUGAACAAAACUGGAUCAAGUAGAAAUUAGUUAGAAUUUAUCAAGGUUGAAGGAUGAACUUUGUGGCGCUAUCAAACUUGAAGUCUAGAUGCAUUCUUAGGGAUUACAUGUAUUCAAGGUACGAUUUUUCGUCACACCAAAAUGGUGCUUGGCUUAUUACAUGGAGAAUUUUGCUUAUGAGCACUGGGAUGAUAUCCUCGACAUCCGUAAUAAAUAUUGAGGUGGCUUUAUCAAUAGUUGAUGGACUGAGGCCUGGAUCAAUUUAUGAUGCUGAUGACACCGCUCAAUUUGCUGAGCUUCUGACACAAGAAGAGCUAACACGUCGAGCGUGGGAGAAAGACGUACAGGUGAUGAACGAAGGACCUGGGCAUAUUCCACUACACAAGAUCCCUGAAAACAUGGACAACAAGUCUACAAGGCAGAAAAUAUAGGUUUUGUGCUUAUAUACUGUCUAAAGCAUCUCUUCAAUAGUUUUUCUUCUUUACUCUAUCUUAUUUGCUUAGACUACAUUCAAUUUGUACAUAAUGAAUUUGUUUGAAUAGUCUUUCUUUUGUUUGCAACUUUUAAUAGAACCUUAAACAGUUAAUGUGGCAUUCUUUACUGCAAGGUUUUGUAAAUCCUAAAAGGAAUUCCCGCGGGGAUAAAAGAAAAAACAAAAGCUUGAUGCAAAAGGAUAAUUUCCUUAGGAGUGGUACAUUCUACAAAAACUACCUGUGCCUCCCAAUUUUCUCUCUGUACAAGAUAUUGUAGAUGAACUACUAUCAAAUCUUUAUAGUAAGUUGUUACCAAUUUUAUUCUUCAUUGAUUGUGUGUAUGAUUAGCUUCUGUCGUUCAGCUAAUAAGCUUGGGAGUAUAUUAAAUCUGGAAAUUCGUUUAAGAAUAUUUUUGUGUAAAUGCUUAAGAAAGUUCUCAAGCUAGCUGAAAUCAACAAAAGCUCAAGAUCAGGCCCUCCAAAUUUUAAGUCUCAUGAUGUGGAAGCCAAAGAAUUGCGCAAUACCUUCAAGUUAAGGGUAGAACUAAGAAAAAGGAAUAGUUAUUGAACUCUUUUCAUGCUAUAAAUGGAGAAAUUGCUGCUCAUAUAUGAACUUGGUUAGCAUUUGUACGUCUACGGUUUCUUGCACAAAUCCUUAUAUCCAGUUAGACGUGUUAAUUCUAACCCAAUUCUAGCUGGAAAAACUAAUGCCUAUCGACAGCAGUAAAGGGCGAUACAAAGGAACGAUGAGGUCUAUAAUAAAGCUUAAGCAUUAUGCAGCAUCAAGAAUGGGAACUAUGAGAAACUAUGUAUAAAUCAGCACCAACAUAUGGCGCUAGCCUUCUCGGUGUAGCUGUUACAUGUUCAUGACCCAACAGUCAUGAAUCCUAAAAAACAUUAUUGUUGAAAGAGGUUAACACAAGCGGAGAAUCGGUUUUAUCUAACUCAAAUAUAUAUCUAUUGUUUUUAUUUUUUGUAUACACAUUAUGUUUUAGUUCAUGCUCUAAAUGUGAGCUUAUUUUUCUUAUUUUUCGGUUAUAUGACAUUUAGUUAUAUCUAUUUUUUUGUAUACAGAGUUUGUGACAAAGCACACCUUCUUGGUUUUGUCGUA
Long non-coding RNA from Papaver somniferum (opium poppy), 3618 nucleotides. RefSeq lists it as uncharacterized. The transcript has 12 exons. The record is from RefSeq and is a predicted model, not a curated record. NCBI's taxonomy places the organism in Eukaryota, Viridiplantae, Streptophyta, Magnoliopsida, Ranunculales, Papaveraceae.